AGUGAACGCUGGCGGUAGGCCUAACACAUGCAAGUCGAACGGCAGCACAGUAAGAGCUUGCUCUUACGGGUGGCGAGUGGCGGACGGGUGAGGAAUACAUCGGAAUCUACUUUUUCGUGGGGGAUAACGUAGGGAAACUUACGCUAAUACCGCAUACGACCUACGGGUGAAAGCAGGGGAUCUUCGGACCUUGCGCGAUUGAAUGAGCCGAUGUCGGAUUAGCUAGUUGGCGGGGUAAAGGCCCACCAAGGCGACGAUCCGUAGCUGGUCUGAGAGGAUGAUCAGCCACACUGAAACGGAGACACGGUCCAGACUCCUACGGGAGGCAGCAGUGGGGAAUAUUGGACAAUGGGCGCAAGCCUGAUCCAGCCAUACCGCGUGGGUGAAGAAGGCCUUCGGGUUGUAAAGCCCUUUUGUUGGGAAAGAAAAGCAGCAGGUUAAUACCCCGCUGUUCUGACGGUACCCAAAGAAUAAGCACCGGCUAACUUCGUG
RNAcentral lists this ribosomal RNA (492 nucleotides) under uncultured bacterium. RNAcentral describes it as "partial 16S ribosomal RNA". It matches the Rfam family "Bacterial small subunit ribosomal RNA", at positions 29 to 507 of the family's 1533-position model. The record is from RNAcentral.